Non-coding RNA from Armillaria nabsnona, 91 nucleotides. The record is from the annotation of a GenBank genome assembly. Lineage: Eukaryota; Fungi; Basidiomycota; Agaricomycetes; Agaricales; Physalacriaceae.
UCGGAUAUGGUGUAAAAGCAUCAUUGCCGCCUCUCAUUACAGCGUUCGAUGAUCGUGGUGGCAGCUCAGGGUUCGAUUCCCUGCAUCCGAA